This 72-nucleotide transfer RNA is filed under the name Capra hircus (goat). It matches the Rfam family "tRNA". From Rfam's summary of the family: Transfer RNA (tRNA) molecules are approximately 80 nucleotides in length. Their secondary structure includes four short double-helical elements and three loops (D, anti-codon, and T loops). RNAcentral also lists the same sequence under 1 other name. The record is from Rfam by way of RNAcentral. Lineage: Eukaryota; Metazoa; Chordata; Mammalia; Artiodactyla; Bovidae.
UCCUUGGUAGUACAGCUGGUUAAAAAUCUGCUUGCAAUUCAGGAGACCCUGGUUCAAAUCCUGGCCUGGGAA